This 371-nucleotide ribosomal RNA is filed under the name uncultured bacterium. RNAcentral describes it as "bacterial SSU rRNA". It matches the Rfam family "Bacterial small subunit ribosomal RNA", at positions 525 to 896 of the family's 1533-position model. The record is from RNAcentral.
ACGUAGGGUGCAAGCGUUAAUCGGAAUUACUGGGCGUAAAGCGUACGCAGGCGGCUUUGCAAGACAGGUGUGAAAUCCCCGGGCCUAACCUGGGAACUGCAUUUGUGACUGCAUGGCUAGAGUCUGUCAGAGGGGGGUGGAAUUCCACGUGUAGCAGUGAAAUGCGUAGAGAUGUGGAAGAACACCGAUGGCGAAGGCAGCCCCCUGGGAUGAGACUGACGCUCAUGUACGAAAGCGUGGGGAGCAAACAGGAUUAGAUACCCUGGUAGUCCACGCCCUAAACGAUGUCUACUAGUUGUCGGAGGGUAACUCCUUCGGUAACGCAGCUAACGCGUGAAGUAGACCGCCUGGGGAGUACGGUCGCAAGAUUA